GCCCAUGUGGUAGGACACGCCAAAAUGCAAAUUUGGAGACGCACCCUAACAGGUGCCGGGGCUUCUCCCGUCGCCUAGUGAAACGGGAGAAGC
Molecule: transfer RNA, 93 nt
Filed under: Cyrtodactylus philippinicus
Lineage: Eukaryota; Metazoa; Chordata; Lepidosauria; Squamata; Gekkonidae
Description: tRNA-Cys
Source: RNAcentral